Long non-coding RNA from Ruditapes philippinarum (Manila clam), 491 nucleotides. RefSeq lists it as uncharacterized. The transcript is spliced from 3 exons. Lineage: Eukaryota; Metazoa; Mollusca; Bivalvia; Venerida; Veneridae. The record is from RefSeq and is a predicted model, not a curated record.
AUAAACAUGUAGCAGGGUCAUAUUUUCGUAUGACAGUAUUAUGAAACGUGUCAGCUCUUUCCGGUGUUUUAUUUCUUUAGGUUUUGAUAAGUUCUUGCUGGUCUUUUAUUUUCUUGUUUUCUUUGUGAUCUCGCGAGAGUUUGGCGGGAAUGUUGUGCAGGUUUUGAAAAGAGUUUACAUGGUUGAUGUAGAGAACAUUCUGUUAAUUUGAACUUGUUUAUAUGAUUUAUAUUUGGUUGAGCUAUCCAAGUGUUUGUGAGAAGUAUUUAAGUUAACCAUCACGUGAGACAGGAUGUAUGUGAAGUGAAAUGAUGUAAAUUAUAACAUUGUAUUGUGGAAUAGGCUUAACAUCCCUUAGAUCUUGCCUUGAUUAAAGUUGACUUCAAUAGAGAAGAUAUAUUGUAUAUUCAUGAGAUUGACUGUAUAUGUAAAUUGGAAACAAUAAAAUGAAUUACCACAUCUACCCUGUGUUAUAACACCAUGUGUUACAA